UCGAGCGGAAACGAGUUAUCUGAACCUUCGGGGGACGAUAACGGCGUCGAGCGGCGGACGGGUGAGUAAUGCCUGGGAAAUUGCCCUGAUGUGGGGGAUAACCAUUGGAAACGAUGGCUAAUACCGCAUAACAGCUUCGGCUCAAAGAGGGGGACCUUCGGGCCUCUCGCGUCAGGAUAUGCCCAGGUGGGAUUAGCUAGUUGGUGAGGUAAGGGCUCACCAAGGCGACGAUCCCUAGCUGGUCUGAGAGGAUGAUCAGCCACACUGGAACUGAGACACGGUCCAGACUCCUACGGGAGGCAGCAGUGGGGAAUAUUGCACAAUGGGCGCAAGCCUGAUGCAGCCAUGCCGCGUGUAUGAAGAAGGCCUUCGGGUUGUAAAGUACUUUCAGCAGUGAGGAAGGUUCAUGCGUUAAUAGCGUAUGGAUUUGACGUUAGCUGCAGAAGAAGCACCGGCUAACUCCGUGCCAGCAGCCGCGGUAAUACGGAGGGUGCGAGCGUUAAUCGGAAUUACUGGGCGUAAAGCGCAUGCAGGUGGUUUGUUAAGUCAGAUGUGAAAGCCCGGGGCUCAACCUCGGAACUGCAUUUGAAACUGGCAGACUAGAGUACUGUAGAGGGGGGUAGAAUUUCAGGUGU
Molecule: ribosomal RNA, 635 nt
Filed under: uncultured bacterium
Lineage: Bacteria
Description: bacterial SSU rRNA
Rfam family: Bacterial small subunit ribosomal RNA
Source: RNAcentral